CCAGGGGGCUCCCGGGUCAUCAGCCACUACGCCGGGCAGGAUGCCACGGAGAGGCAGCGCAGCCGCGUCUGGACCUAGGUGCCGGUCUCCACUCGCCAGCAGGAGCGGAGAGGGAGCAGGAAAGGAGCCCAUUCUCGAGGAUGGGGCUGAAACGGGAAGCUUGGGGAGACCGCUGCCUUGGGGACCCCUGCGUCAUGUGAAGACUGGAGGACGCGGAAGGGACAGCACUGGCCGGGGAGGGCAAGCGGCCGCUGGCGUACAUAAGGGAUUGGGAAUGGCAUACACUUAGCGAGGACCCCCAGAGCUGUUCUCGAAUCGCCGGGGAGGCCACUGAGCCGCAGUCCAGCGAGGUCUUCAGCUAUUCCGCGGAGCGGACCGCUGUUUACGCUCUGGGGCGGUAGGCCCUUCGCGGGGUCCUGUCCCUUCUUCCCUUGGUCUCACUGCGGGGUCGGCGCGCGCCCCAGCCCUGGCCUGCUGCUUCUCUUUCUAGACCACAGCCCUCAGAGCUAAGGCCCCGGCGCCUCUCUGCUGGGUUGGAGUGCUGGGGACUCAGCCCUGGGGACUCGAAAGUCGGGGCGUUCGCUUCACCGCGUUUCCCCCUUGGCGGCCGGAAUGGCGUCCCCUCCCCUUGCAUCCCUCUCUGAUCCCGUGCCCUGCAGCGUGACGCUCUCCACUGUGCCUAUCCACUACCCUGGCGUCCCAGAGUGUGCCGCGGGUCACCAGGGUUCCCAUAACGUCGCAGCAGAGCUUAGACGCUACGGGGCGAACACCCGCCCCACUCUCUGACGCGACCAGCCUAGGGGGGCGAGGCCAGAGCUUGCGCGGGUUAACCAGAGUGACCACUCCGGAGCCCUGACUGCGGCCAAGGACGCAGGCGUGGGCCGGCGCAUGCGCAGACGAAACAGGCACCGACGCUGGGGCUUCCCGCAGUGUGAUUUGGGGCCGGGGAUGCCGCGGCGGGGAAGGCGAUUGGUCCGGAUGUGUGGUACCACCGGCCGCCGGCUCCGCCCCGGCCCCCGCCCCACACGCCGCAUCACUUACAGGGCCCGGGGCUGCUGGACCUGCGGACGUGAAUCUUAUCGCCAUGGACCUUACCUUGCACAACCCAAAGUAGCUGCUUUGGGGCAGGGGGUGGCCAGAGUGCUUAGGGAAAUGUGGAGCCCUACCCAGAACAACGGUGGAGGGAAAGGGAAGAAACGCAGAAGUGCCCCAGUUCGGACGUAGGGAAGUCUUCCUCUUCGUGGUUUUUGGAGAACCCUAGCUAAGAGAGGAAAGGGACUUAUUAAAAGACCCGCAAGAAGGGACGUAAGUCUCAUAGCCCUGAGAGGUGAAGCCAGCUGGACUUGCUGGGUCAAGUGGGGACCUAGAGAACUUUUCUGUAUCUAGAGGUUUGUAAAAUGCACCAAUCAGUGCUAUGUAAAAACGCACCAAUUGGCGCUCUGUAGCUAGCUAGCGGUUUGUAAAAUGAGCCAAUCAGUGCUCUGUAAAAUGGACCAAUCAGCAGGACGUGGGCAGGGACAACUAAGAGAAUAAAAGCUGGCCACCCCAGCCAGCUGUGGUAACCCGCUCUAGCUCCCUUACAGGCUGUGGAAGCAUUGUUCUUUUGCUUUUCACACUAAAUUUUGCUGCUGCUCACUCUUUGGGGCUGCACCACCUUUAAGAGCUAUAACACGGGGAAGGUCCACUGCUUCAUUCUUGAAGUCAGUCAGACCACACCCACCGGAAGGAACCAACGCCCGACACAGCCCCACGCAUCCCUCCUGUUCUCACCUAUACUGAAAUUCUUGGGCAAAAGCUGUCUGUGGACACACCCAGGGGAAAGGCCAGCCCAGGCAGGUAUUUCUUAGUGGUCCCCCUCA
Molecule: small RNA, 1859 nt
Filed under: Pongo abelii (Sumatran orangutan)
Lineage: Eukaryota; Metazoa; Chordata; Mammalia; Primates; Hominidae
Description: processed transcript
Rfam family: mir-1908 microRNA precursor family (bases 946-1018)
Source: RNAcentral